RNAcentral lists this long non-coding RNA (1252 nucleotides) under Homo sapiens (human). RNAcentral describes it as "HSALNT0251654". The record is from RNAcentral. Lineage: Eukaryota; Metazoa; Chordata; Mammalia; Primates; Hominidae.
AAAUGCCUCUAUACUAGGAGACUUGCUGUUUGGUCCCUUUGUGGAUGUUGAGUUUGCAUAGUUGGAUGGGAGAUUCUUUCUACAUUUAUAAAAUGACAGGGUUGUCAGUAUCCUGCACCAGGCAAUGUGGCCCCACACUGUAGCUUUCUCCCUUACAACUUUGUGACCUUCAGCAAGAUAUUCUCACUUCCUGUGUCUUAGUUUUUCCAAUAGCAAAAUGGUGGUGGUAACAGUAGCCCUACUGCAUAGGGCAUAGGAAAUAUGCAUUCAUAGUUUAAACCAUUUAGAACAGUGCCUGGCAUAUACAAAGUGCAAUAAAAUAGACUUCAAUAUUCAUAUUCUACAGCCUAUGUCAUGCUUAACUAUUUCUCCCUUCAGCCCGCCUCUACCCUAGUAUUUAAUGAUCCUCACUGAGGAAAUUCGGUUUUUAUUUUUAUUUUUCCAGACAGACUCUUGCUCUGUUUCCUAGGCUGGAGUGCAGUGGUGCAAUCACAGCUCACUGCAGCUUCAACCUCCUGGGCUCAAGUGUUCCUCCUUCCUCAGCCUCCAGAGCAGCUGGGACUACAGGCACAAGCCAUCACGCCUGGCUAAUUUUUGUAAGUUUUGUAAAGACAGGGUCUCACUAUGUUGCCCAGGCUGGUCUUGAACUCCUGGGCUCAGGCAGUCCUCUCACCUCAGCACUGCAAAGUACUGGGAUUACAGGUAUGAGUCACCACGCCUGGUGGAAUUGGCUUUUUUAAAUGCAUAUAAACCUAAUCUCUUUUUAAAGGCUCUGGCAACUACAUUGCAUGAUAAAAAUAGUUUUCAUUCAAUAUUUCAGAUUGGAGGUGAAUGAUGAGGAGAUACAGAGAUCAACCCUUCAAUGUCUUCACUGCUUAGCUACCUGGAAACUCUGAAGCCAAGUAAUGCAAUUCCAAUUCUACUAAAAAAGCUGAACUCGGUAAUAACCAAAGAGCUCACAGGAUUAAAGAGCUAAAGACUAUUAGCAAUCAUCUAGCCCAACCCCUUAGUUUUACAAAUAAGGACUGAGGAACAUAGAGAUGUAAAAAUAAAAAGCAUAGAGGAGAAGAAUGGGGCCAUAAACUUGAUACAACGUAUUGCAAUCGAGUUUCAUCAGAUAAACUACGGAGACAGUUUCGAUGAUGCUCUUGUCAGAAAACACAUGGUACGAUACACUGUAUAUGUGCCAGAUAGCUUCUGCACUUUCAGAAAUGUCAUUUCUAAAAAUGUCUAUCCAUUUGGAAAAUAAGUA